Long non-coding RNA from Solea solea (common sole), 710 nucleotides. RefSeq lists it as uncharacterized. NCBI's taxonomy places the organism in Eukaryota, Metazoa, Chordata, Actinopteri, Pleuronectiformes, Soleidae. The record is from RefSeq and is a predicted model, not a curated record. The transcript has 2 exons.
UUAUUAAAGACAGCAACAGAAGCAGACCAGCUCUCAUUAAUUCACCUUCAGCACUACUGACACUGAAAAGGAGGAAUGUUAAUGUUGAGGGUUAAAAGUUGACAUUUUUACGCACAGAUUUUAGACGCACGGCAUUGGAAAAAGAGGACAGUUUUUUUUUUACUUGUUUAACAGAAUGUUGGAGUUUGUCCUGUGCUAUUCCGUGCUCUCUUUGUUUUCAUACAGAUGGAAAAGCUGUUGCCAGGACGAUAUGACUCGACAUGACCGUGCACUGGAGGCUGCUCCAAUCUUGCCUUUCUCAAACACACCUGAACUCUUCCUUGACCCGGGGACACAGUCUACAGGGAGCAGGAUGUAAAGCAAAAGGCCCUCGGCAGAGUUAUUUACACAAAUCAAGGCUCCUUAUCACUGUCAGCAAAGAGGAGUUAGAGGCGCACACCUCUGGACGAUGGCCAGUCGGCGGUCCAUAUCUUCCCACAAUGUUGACACUCGGAGCUCUUAACAGCAAGGCUUGGGUUACCGAUAUACUCAGCCGAAGAUAAGUCUUUCUGCUAGGUUUACACCGGCCAACAUCAAGGCUAAUGCGAAAUUCAACGCCUUCAGCCGAUUGGAACCAUCUCUCAUGGACGCUCACCAGCACCAGGGCCGAUUAGGACUGGAGAUUUAUGCCAACAUACUGUAGGUGGUUGUAAUAAAGCAGUUUGAAUUUC